AAAUAACUACCCUUCUCCCUCGACACUGAGACUCAGCCUCAGUUUUCUCAUCUGCCAGUUGGAUGAUAGUCUCUGUUCCACCCGACCGUGGUGGCGGUGGAGUAGUCAGUUGUGUGUGACUCCUUUGGGACCCAUGGACUGUAGCCUGCCAGGCUCCUUGCUCAUGGAUUUUCCAGGCAGGAAUACUGUAGUGGGUUGCCAUUUCCUUCUCCAGGGGACCCAGGGCUCGAACCUGCAUCUCCUGCAUUGCAGGUGGUCUCCUGAAGGAGUGAACUGGCAGGUGAAUUCUUUACCACUGAGCCACCAAGGAAGCCCAAUCACUGGGCAGUUACAAAUCAUGCAUGAGGGAAAAGUGAAGAGAUAACUUGGCGAAGGAGGAAGUGCUUCAUCCAUGGGCAUGUAGUGUCUGUUUGGACGAUUAUGAAUCACCUAAAGUUACUGUCUUUGGGAUCCUUUGGAAAGAAGGGUGCCCCACAAUUUUUCAGGCAUCCAAGUCCCUUUUCCUGUCUUCAUUAUUUGGAUCACUCUCAUGGAAGUUAAAUUUCCCAGAACGGUCUGGGCUGUUGCCAUCUCUUUCUUCUGAGUUUACUGGUAUGGGUAGCCGUUUCCAGCGUGAAGCCUUCCAGCAAGCAGGCUCAGCCACUCCAGACACCACGCCCCGCAGCCGGGGCUGGGGAUGAAGGUUUGAGGCAGAACCUCACAUUUGCUUAUGCAGUGCUUUGAAUUUUCCGAAAUGUCUGCUUUCACAGAUGUUAUCCCGUGGACGCAUCCCUGGAUGGGGCCGGAUUUGCUGAGCCUCACAAAGCCUGUGGGGUUGGUUCUUCUGCCUCCAGAGUGGACGGAGCAGCGCUUAUGAAACGUGAGGCCCACCUGUUUCUCAUCAAAGUGCCUGCAAGUCCCUCUCCUGGAGAAAGCGGGGAGCUGCAGAGACAGGAAGAAAACUUGGGGGACAGGAAGAGAGGCGCUGCUCUGAUGGAAUCUGUCAUCCUCUGACUUGGAAGGAAACCUGUCAUCUCCCGGCUUGGGGCGGGGGCAAAGAGUAAGGGGCGAUCUGGGAGGUGGGGCUUCCAUUGGCCAGCUCCCCACUGUGAACAGCCCAUGGGGUGUGGAGCCCCCAGCCAGCUCCAUGGGGCAUGUGGUGGAGUUUUUUUAAAGACAGAAUUGCUGACCCCGCUAGGACCACGGACAUGGCCACUGGGUCCUGUUGGUCAUCGCAGAAAUAAGACUAACGCCACCAUCAGGGACAAAUUCUGAAGGCAAUUAUUCCCGUUCUCUGAAGACCAGUGGCCCCAAGGCUCUGAGGAGCAGACUCGUCAACCAGAAGAGAGUCCCCAUGUGACUUGCGGAUGCACGAGGCGAGAUCCUGGACCUGACUCACCGUAUCAUGUUAGCAUAGAAUGAGAGUGGGAAUAAUAGAAGUUAAUGCAACCCAUCACCUGAUAUGGUGCCAUGCACACUCCUGUGUGUGUGUGUGUGUGUGUGUGUGUUUGCUCAUGCACAUGCAUGCCUGUGUAUGCAUGCAUGG
Bubalus bubalis (water buffalo) is the source of this 1525-nucleotide long non-coding RNA. RefSeq lists it as uncharacterized. Lineage: Eukaryota; Metazoa; Chordata; Mammalia; Artiodactyla; Bovidae. The record is from RefSeq and is a predicted model, not a curated record. The transcript is spliced from 3 exons.